GUACUUACCUGGCAGGGAACCGUUGGUGAUCAGGAGGGCCGAGGUUCCAGGACGAGGCGAUCCCAUUGCGCUUUGGGUGUGCUGAAGCCUGUAAUAUCCCCAAACGCGGGAUGCUCGACUGCAUAAUUUGUCGUUGUGGGGGUCUGCGUUCCUGCUCCUUUUA
Molecule: small nuclear RNA, 163 nt
Organism: Mobula hypostoma (lesser devil ray)
Lineage: Eukaryota; Metazoa; Chordata; Chondrichthyes; Myliobatiformes; Myliobatidae
Product: U1 spliceosomal RNA
Exons: 1
Source: RefSeq, a predicted model, not a curated record